AUAGUUUGGCAGCGAAUGAAUCCUAUCGGGGGAAGGUGUGUUGUAAAGGAUGAUCCGCCUAUUAAUUUACUCUUAUUAUGUUGGUGUAUAUCUAGUUUAAUAUUAUUGUCUAGUGACUUAAUUUGUGUAGAAUUUAGUUAAGCUAAGUCUAUGUGCUGCAUAUAGGAGUUUUCAUGCGUUACAUUUAUAAAGAGUUAGUUGUAAAGACUAAUUUAUUUAGGACUCG
This 226-nucleotide ribosomal RNA is filed under the name Catenotaenia henttoneni. RNAcentral's name for it is "partial small subunit ribosomal RNA". The record is from RNAcentral. Lineage: Eukaryota; Metazoa; Platyhelminthes; Cestoda; Cyclophyllidea; Catenotaeniidae.